CCUUCAGGUGGGCACACAGACCCCGCUGAGCGUCAUUCCAGACCCCAGUGUGGCCACCCCUGGGGACAGUCCUGGACUCUGAGCUGACCUCCCCUCCCUGGGGUGACAGCGUGGCCUCCCAGCUCUGCCCGUCCCAGAUGGCAAGUGGGCCACAGUCUGGGGUCCCAGUCUGGGUGGGGUCACAGUACCCCUGCAGGAAGGGUCAUGAAUACCCCCCUUUGAUCCACAUUCCCAGGACCCUGGCAGCUGGAAGCGCCCCCUCUGUCCACUCGGCUGUGGAUGCAGGUUCCCCUCACAGGCCACUCCAGAGCCGCACGCACGCCCCCAUGGGAGCCCGUCCUGUGGGGCAGGUGCCGAGCCAGGCUGACAGUCAGUGUCCAGGCCGGGGACCCCGCUCAGCCGGGCUCCCCCGUUUGUGUCAGUGUUGGGGACACAGCUCUGCUCCCUCCUCUGAACGCGGCUGGCCCAGCAGCCUCCACAGUGAGCCCGGCCCCUCCUGUGCUGGAGGGAGAUCCUUCGCACGAACCCGUGUGCAGGGCCUGGCUCCCCCGUUGUUGUCUUUGGCUCCCCUGUGUUAAACUUUGACCUCUGGCUCCCAUCUGUUGGCAUGGAGUGUUGUUCGCGCGUUUAGUUGGCGCACCUCCUGCCAGCUGGUGUGGAGGGUCCAUGGGAGCCGAGGAGAAAGCUCGCGGCCCACAGGGGCCUCCUGUUGGGUGGCAGCAUCUUUGGGGCCUGGGCUCACCUGGAAUCCACAGGCUGCCCCCCUGAGCUCCCUGGCCCCGUCCAGGGCCCCGUCCCGGCCUUGCUGCUACAUCCGGUCUCAGACGGAGCCGCCCAGGACGCUGCUGGGCUUGGCCGCUCCGGCCCAGCGUCCCUGCCUGGCCUGCUCUCAUUCUGCCACCUGUGCCCUGUCCUGGCCCGUUGGAGUCGGAGGGACCCAUCUGAUGUCCCAGCACGUGCCGUCUGACCCCUCUGGGAUCUGACCGUCCGAGGCUGGUGUUGGGAGGUGUGACCCCAGAGACACAGCUGGACGGAUUUCUGCUGGGCUCCCCCACACCCUUCUGCGGGAAAAGAGAUGCCUUUGCUUUAUCCCAGGGCUUGGAUUUUGGUCGUGGGGGCACCGCUCAGCCCCACUGUGUGUUCUGGGAGGCCCGUGGGCGAGUCUGAGGUCCCAGGAGUGGGGUCGAGUCAGGGAGCAGGCGGCCGGGGCCCUCUACAGAAGUAGCUCUCCGUGAGGCAGUGCCCCUUGAUCGGGGCUGCAGGGGGCCUGCGUGGGGCGGGGCGGGUGGGAGCCCAGGCGAGAGGCUUGGGGACCCGAAUGCCCCCUGGUCGGCUGGUUGUCAUUUUUUAAGAGGCCUAAGCCGUACUUUAGGACUCUCCUUUCACACACACAUGUGUGUGUUUUGCCACUUUUGUUCAUCCCAGUCAUCUGGCCGCGUCCCCUGGAGGUCGGGGAAUGCACCCCACGGUCCCUGCAGGACCUGCUGAGACCUGUUUUGCGGCCCAGGAGGUGGCCAGCCCCCAACGGCGCCCUGUGUGUUGGAAAAGAAUGUGAGAGCUGCAGCUGUGCUGGGGCCGCAUCUAUUUCUGUCCCGGAGAUUAAACUUGUAAAUCUCCCGUGUCUGCAGCAGGCUGUUUGUUUCUGGUUGUCCGGUCAGCUCCGUCAUCGCUCCGGGGAGCUGGGCCCGGCCUCCCUGGGGGCUGGACCUCUGCUUUUCCCUGCAGCGUCUGCCGUGUCCGUGUGGGGCUCCUGGGGCCGGCAUCGGCCAGCUCUGAGGCGUGUCGUUUCCCCUGGUCGCCUGCCCUGACGCGGUCCCUGUCUCUCUCUAGUACUGUCCACACCUCCACCUCCUGUGUGCACGUCAGUCCAGCCACCCCACGGCCCCUCGACCCUUUUCCGUCUUUUGAGAAGAUGUUCACCCUCUGCACCCUUACGUCUUAUGUGUGUCUCUUGUGAAUAGACACGAUUCUCUUUUUCCUUCUGAUCUUCAUCUUUUACCUGUGCUGUUUGUCUGUUUCCACGUGUUAUGACUGUUCGUCCAUCUUGGUUUAUUUUCGUCCUGUCCUUUCUUGCCUCCUCUUUCUCUUUUCCUCUCCUACUUUGGAGUAUUCCCUUGCUCCUAGCUGACUGCUCAUCCUAGAAAUGGCCACUACUGGAUUUUUCCAGGUGAAAAAUUAAUACCUUUGCCUUCCAGCUCAAAACACUCAGAUGGGGGCUGGCCCAGUGGCGCAGCAGUUAAGUGCGCACGUUCUGCUUCGGCGGCCCGGGGUUCACCAGUUCGGAUCCCAGGUGCAGACAUGGCACCACUUGGCAAGCCAUGCUGUGGUAGGCAUCCCACAUAUAAAGUAGAGGAAGAUGGGCACGGAUGUUAGCUCAGGCCCAGUCUUCCUCAGCAAAAAGAGGAGGAUCGGCAGAUGCUCAGGGCUAAUCUUCUUCAACAAAAAAAACAAAACUCUCAGACACUUCCAUUCCAUGACCCCAUUCAUUUUACACUGCUGUUGUUGCCUUCGGAGGGUUUUUAAAAAGAAAUAAAAUCGCCUUCUUAUGAUGAUUCACACAGUCAGUGUGUUGAGAUUUGCCCCCCAUACUCCCCUUUCCUGCAUCUCCGACCUGCGUCAGGAGCACUUGGCUUCUGCCUGACGCGUGGUCCCCCGCACAUCCUGGACCAGCGUCUGCUGACAGUGGCCGGCUCGCUUUUGCUUUUCUUCCGUUUUGGUCUCAAACUGUCUCCAUGUUGGUUUUGUGUGGCAGACACCUCCCGGGAGGUGGCGUUUGGGCGAAAGGGCAGCCGCUCUCCUCCAGCUCUGGCCCCUGCAUUUCUGUCGAGAAGCUGGCUGCAGGGCUCCUGGGUCGCUCCUUUGGAGACGGUCCCCUUUUCUGUUCCGUUCCGUCUCCUUGUGGCAGGUUCUGAGGAUCUGCCACUGUCUUGGGUGUUGUCCAGUCUCGUCAUCCGGUGUGCAGUGUGGGUUGCUCCAAGGACUCCUGCUUGGGGUUCCUUGGGCCUCGGGUCUCAGGAUGUGUCUCCAGCUCUGUAGCUGCAGGCUCAGCACCUGCGUCUCCUCCCUCCCGGGGCACGAGUCCCUCCCAGCUGUGCUGCUCUGCUCUCCAACCCAGAAAGCAAGUGUGUUUCCUUUCUUCUGGACGUUUUAUUUGGAGCUGUCUUAAGUCUCCUCACUCUUGCAUCUUCAAGCCUCUCCCUGUCUUGAUAUAUGAAGCGUGUCGGCUCUCAUUCUCAACAACGUCAGAGUCCGGAGUCUUCGCCAGCCCAGCUGCUCCCUGCUUGCCGGCUCUCCCCCAUGGUGCCUUCCUUCCAUGUGUGUUUGUGCGUUUUGAUCAUGAACGCCUCACUUUCCUUGGAACUUGGGGCGUUUUCUGAGUCCCGAGUUGAGGAUGGUUCGCCUCAGCACAUCUUGCUGCUUCCGGGCACUGCUGAUCUGCGGCAGCCUGACGUCGUCGCCUGGAGGGUUUGGGGACCAGGCACAGGAUGUACAUUUGGUUUGCACACUUGACUGGGAGUCUGCUGUGAGCUCUCGGGAGCUUCGCCACCACCCCCUGCCCGCAGCCCCUUGAUGCAGCACCAGCUUCCAGGCCUAUGAUUGUCCUUUCCUUCCUGGGGUCAGAGGUUGGUGGGGAUUUAUUUCCACUUCAUUCUUCUUGCUGCAGGGGCAGCCCCCAGGAUCCCGCUCAGGGGGCAGCCUCCGUCGAGGAUGCUGGAUGUUGCCUCCUGUCCCCGAGCUCUGCAACACUGUGAGGUGACGGUCACUUCACCCCCUUGAGUGCACUCCCUGAAGGCAGCGCCUGUCCAGCCUCUCCUGGCCUCGCUGGGUGCCCCUUCCCAGCGUCCGUGCCCUGAGAGUCCUUCCUCUCUUGCCAGUCCGUGAGGCACUCAGGAAGAUGUUUGUCAAGUGCUCUCCCCAGCAUUUCCAGCUGCCUUCCUCAGAAGGGCUGGUCCGAGCACCUGGGUCUUGACAGGGCCACAGAAAGAGCACACAUGUUAGCAUUUACUUCUCCCUGAGUCGAUCCUGCAAGUCCAGCACCAGAACUGGGUCAUCCAGUGUUGCACUGUGCCUCAGGGAGUGAGUUGGUGGGAGACGCUUGCUUCCCCAUGAGUGUGAGAGACAUGGAAGGUUCCAGGCUGGGAGAGACUCACUGUGGACAGAGGGAAACAGAGUCACGUGGCCAAGUUCUCUGAGGUAGCAGCUUUCCGAACACAGCGAAAGGUGUUUUCCUUUCAGGAGAGCUCUUUGGGAUGUGCGUGCCAUCACUGCAUAUUGCUGGGGGCCUGCUCUGUGCCAGGCACUGGAGGGUAGCUGCACCUUCUAGUUGGGAUGACAGAAAAGCCUACAGAGCCUGACUGGGGUGACAGUACCUGUGAAGGGGCGGCAGGUGGGGUGGGAUGUGUGGUG
This is a long non-coding RNA of Equus caballus (horse), 4407 nucleotides long. NCBI's taxonomy places the organism in Eukaryota, Metazoa, Chordata, Mammalia, Perissodactyla, Equidae. The record is from Ensembl.